RNAcentral lists this transfer RNA (106 nucleotides) under Blastomyces percursus. RNAcentral's name for it is "tRNA-Gly". The record is from RNAcentral. Lineage: Eukaryota; Fungi; Ascomycota; Eurotiomycetes; Onygenales; Ajellomycetaceae.
GCAUCAUUGGUCUAGUGGUAGAAUCCAUCGUUGCCAUAAUUCACUUCGCGGUAAAUCGGGAGUCAUGUGACUCGAUGGGGCCCGUGUUCGAUUCACGGAUGAUGCA